This 710-nucleotide ribosomal RNA is filed under the name uncultured bacterium. RNAcentral's name for it is "bacterial SSU rRNA". It matches the Rfam family "Bacterial small subunit ribosomal RNA", at positions 95 to 813 of the family's 1533-position model. The record is from RNAcentral.
GCGGCGAACGAGUCAGUAACACCCUAGUCACCUACCCCUAAGAUGAGCAUAAUCUGCCGAAAGGCAGACUAAUUUUCAAUGGUCUCGCAAGAGUAAAGAUUUGGCGCAAGUCAAGUCGCUUAGGGAGGGGCUUAGGUCCUAUCAGUUUGUUGGUGAGGUAAUGGCUCACCAAGGCGACGACGGGUAGGGGGCGCGAGAGCGUGAUCCCCGACGACGGAACUGAGACACGGUCCGUACACCCACGGGUGGCCGCAGUCGAGAAUAUUCCACAAUGGACGAAAGUCUGAUGGAGCGACGCCGCGUGCAGGAAGAAGCUCUUCGGAGUAUAAACUGCUUUUCUUUGGGAGAAAGUCACGUUUACGUGAUUGAUAGUACCAGAGGAAUAAGGAGUUGCUAACCUCGUGCCAGCAGCAGCGGUAAUACGAGGACUCCAAGCGUUGUCCGGAUUUAUUGGGCGUAAAGAGCGUGAAGGUGGCUCGGUGCGUCUUGUCUUAAAUCUCUAGGCUUAACCUAGAGGCUGGGCAAGAUACGAUCGAGCUAGAGGGCGUUAGAGGUCAUUGGAACUCAUAGUGUAGGGGUGAAAUCCGUUGAUAUUAUGAGGAACACCAAAGGCGAAGGCAUUUGACUGGGACGCUCCUGACACUCAAGCGCGAAAGCGUGGGUAGCGAACGGGAUUAGAUACCCCGGUAGUCCACGCCGUAAAUGAUGUU